GAUGAAGAACGCAGCGAAAUGCGAUAAGUAAUGUGAAUUGCAGAAUUCAGUGAAUCAUCGAAUCUUUGAACGCACAUUGCGCCCCUUGGUAUUCCGAGGGGCAUGCCUGUUCGAGCGUCAUUUCAACCAUCAAGCCCCCGGCUUGUGUUGGGGACCUGCGGCUGCCGCAGGCCCUGAAAAGCAGUGGCGGGCUCGCUGUCACACCGAGCGUAGUAGCAUACAUCUCGCUCUGGGCGUGCUGCGGGUUCCGGCCGUUAAACCACCUUCAUAACCCAAGGUUGACCUCGGAUCAGGUAGGAAGACCCGCUGAACUUAAGCAUAUCAAUAAGCGGAGGA
Molecule: unclassified non-coding RNA, 336 nt
Filed under: soil metagenome
Description: partial contains 5.8S ribosomal RNA, internal transcribed spacer 2, and large subunit ribosomal RNA
Rfam family: 5.8S ribosomal RNA (bases 1-120)
Source: RNAcentral